RNAcentral lists this ribosomal RNA (363 nucleotides) under Glomeromycetes sp. RNAcentral describes it as "LSU rRNA". The record is from RNAcentral. Lineage: Eukaryota; Fungi; Glomeromycota; Glomeromycetes.
AAACGAUUGAAGCCAGUAGGACCAUGGAGAGUUCAGCAGUACCCAUCGAGUAUUGUUGCAAUGAGAACAUUUUACGGUGUCUCUAGCAAUGUACGCAGGUGGACUAUUGUGCAUUCUUUUCAUGGUUAGUCAGUGUCAAUUUGGGUUGUCGCAAAAGGACUUUGAGAAGGUGGCCAAUGCCUCGGUAUUGGCUUUAUAGCUCAUUGUAGAUACGAUGACCUAGAUUGGAGUCGACAACAGCUAACAGGGGUGCUGGAUCUGCGGUCGUGGACACUUUAGAAUCAGUAGAGUCUAGAGUGGCAUCUGACCGAGACAAGGUGUCUUGGAUGCUGUGGUGAGUACUGACGAAAUGGCUUUAAACGA